This 430-nucleotide long non-coding RNA is filed under the name Homo sapiens (human). RNAcentral describes it as "HSALNT0276596". The record is from RNAcentral. Lineage: Eukaryota; Metazoa; Chordata; Mammalia; Primates; Hominidae.
UUUCAAAGGCUCCCCACAUGGGUUCCCCACAGGGUGGAGGGCACAGGUUUACACGAGCUGAAUUUUUUCAAACCAGUCUUUCUAGCACAACAGAACUGACAAGAGAUGAGAGUCCUGAAGACAUAGUCUGGGUACAGUGAGAAGAGCCCAGAAUGGAGGAAGCAUUCUUUUUUCCUCUAGGGAUAAAUUUUAGUUCAUGAUUUAAGUCAACAGAAGAGAAAAAUGUAAAUGCCUGAGGAAGUCAUGAAGCAGCGAUUCCUCCUAAGAGGCUGUAACCCCCACUGGGGAGUGUAUGUGAUCUUGAGGGAGUGGGGGAAGUAAAAAUGAGUCCUAAAAUAUUUUUAAAACAACAGAUGCCUUCCAGUGGGGGCCCUUUUGGAUGGAAGAAAGGGAUGGCCACCAAAGCAUCAGGUGUUAGGUCCACAAAGAC